RNAcentral lists this long non-coding RNA (2122 nucleotides) under Olea europaea subsp. europaea. The record is from RNAcentral. Lineage: Eukaryota; Viridiplantae; Streptophyta; Magnoliopsida; Lamiales; Oleaceae.
AAUUUAGCAGCCAAAAUGUUACCCUGACUGUUUCUCUUGUUUCUCUCUACUUUGUUCAGAUUUUCCAGUACCAUCAGAAAAUGGAAACAUGUCUACUGGCGCUAUAGUUGGGAUAGUUAUUGGUGUUCUGUUUACGAUUUUUCUAGUUCUGGGAAUUCUUUGGUGGAAGGGUUGCUUAGGAUCCAAAGAUACUACAGCACAAGGUAUUGCAUAAGCUUCUUAUUUUUCAUGUGUGUAGAUCUAUUAGGCAGUCAUAUAUGAGUGAUAUAUCCACGACCCUGUGCAAUCUAAUUCUGUCAAUCCUCUUUAUACUUGGUUAUAGAUUAGAAAGAGAGUUUUCAAUUGUCUUGAACGCUUCUUGAUGUUUUUGACAGAUCUAAAGGGUCUAGACCUACACACUGGAUCAUUUACCCUAAGACAAAUUAAAGCUGCCACAAACAAUUUUGAUCCUGCUAACAAGAUUGGAGAAGGUGGUUUUGGUCCUGUGUACAAGGUAUCCUAAGGAAGAGCUAUUUUUCGAAUCUACUAUGGUUUGGUCACUUGAAACCUCUUUUGACAUUAUGAAUUGUUUGAAGGGUCUCCUGUCAGAUGGAAUCAUCAUAGCUGUGAAGCAGCUUUCUUCUAAAUCGAAGCAAGGGAACCGUGAAUUUGUGAAUGAAAUAGGCAUGAUUUCUGCUCUACAACACCCUCAUCUUGUAAAGCUGCAUGGAUGCUGUAUCGAAGGCAACCAGUUGUUGCUUGUGUACGAAUACAUGGAGAAUAACAGCCUUGCUCGUGCUUUAUUUGGUAAUGCAAAAAAGCUUAACUUUUUAUUCCAGUACUGAAAUGAAAUGCAAAAACGUGUAACCCGUUGUUAUCUGAUUCGUAUAUUUUUGUGCAAACGAGUGUUCUCAGGUCCAGAAGAACACCAGUUGAAAUUGGAUUGGCCUACAAGGCGCAAGAUCUGUAUUGGUAUAGCAAGAGGAUUGGCUUAUCUUCAUGAGGAAUCGAGAUUAAAAAUUGUCCAUCGGGACAUCAAGGCUACCAAUGUGCUUCUUGAUAAGAAUCUUCAUCCAAAAAUAUCUGAUUUCGGUCUUGCCAAACUCGAUGAAGAAGAUAAUACCCAUAUAAGCACUCGUAUCGCUGGAACUUUGUGAGUAAUAAAAUGCUGAUCUUGCUUUCUUUUUUCUUUUCUUUUCUUAUUUUUGACAAGUGUCUUCUCCUUUCUCCUUUUCUACAUAACUUAUCUGAAAUGAUACUACAUAAUAUUAAAAUUACAUGACGUAUGAGUGUUGUGUAUCUCCCAGUGGAUAUAUGGCACCUGAAUAUGCUAUGCGAGGCUAUUUGACCGAUAAAGCAGAUGUAUACAGUUUCGGAAUUGUUCUUCUAGAAAUUGUCAGUGGUAGAAGCAACACUAGUAUCAGGCCAAAAGAGGACUCUUUCUAUCUUCUUGAUUGGGUAACAGUUGCUAUUAUUUUAUGUGCUUAUUCCUAAUUGUGUUCGUACAAACUCUGACUAGCUCUUUGUUUCCUUUUUUUAGGCUAAUUCCUUGAAGGCUAACGGAAAAUUAACGGAACUGAUUGAUCCAAGAUUGGAAUCAAACUUCAGUAAAAAAGAGGUGAUCAUGACUAUCAAUGUAGCGCUCCAUUGUACCAAUGCUGUAGCUGCCGAAAGACCAAGUAUGUCAACAGUUGUAAGCAUACUCGAAGGAAGAGAGCGUGUUCAAGGAUUUGUACCAGACUCCAGUAUUUCAAUGGACGAAAUGAAGCCAAAGAGUCAAGACCAAGCAACAGAGUCAAAUGAUGAUCAAGACCAAAGUAUUUCAAUGGAUGCUCCUUGGACAGCUUCCUCAACCUCGACCGCUGACCUGUAUCCGAUCACUUUGGAUACUGAUUACUGGGAGAAGAGAAUGUAAAAAGUCGCAUUUCUAUGUGUUUUUGGUCCUGAAAUUUCGUUUUCCUUACAGACGACGUAAAUUUUUCAUUUUUUUUUCUUUUUCCCAGAAAUUCCCGUCUUAUAUUUUAUCUUUGUUCUCGCAUCAAGGAUUUGUUUGAUCCUUAACUUCUUUGUACAUUUUGGGUUUGUAUAUUUAAAUGCAUUUCUAUAUAUGCAAUUAGAAAGAACUUUAUAUUGGAAUAAAUUA